RNAcentral lists this ribosomal RNA (125 nucleotides) under Chaetothyriales sp. RNAcentral describes it as "partial small subunit ribosomal RNA". It matches the Rfam family "Eukaryotic small subunit ribosomal RNA", at positions 1657 to 1779 of the family's 1831-position model. The record is from RNAcentral. Lineage: Eukaryota; Fungi; Ascomycota; Eurotiomycetes; Chaetothyriales.
CCUUUGUACACACCGCCCGUCGCUCCUACCGAUUGAAUGGCUCAGUGAGGCCUUGGGACUGGCUCAGAGAGAUGGGCAACUAUCACUCAGAGCCGGAAACUUGGUCAAACUUGGUCAUUUAGAGG